UAAUAUUGAUCCUUUGGUAGAUCCCUUAAAUCUUCUAGAUGACUACCAAGUUGUUCCGCCUCCUCCUCCUCCUCCUUCCCAAAACCCUUAGUUUUUCUCUAAAGUGUCUCCGCACGUGUGUAUGAUUUUUUAUUUCUAUCUAAGUGUAUGUGUGUGUGCCCUUUAUGUUUGUUUAUAGUUGCUGCAUUUCUAUUAUAGUUCUUUGUAUUUCUGUAUUGUUAAAUACUAGUUGUAUCUUCUCUACUUUUUUGGCUUAUCAAUGAAUACCUUUU
RNAcentral lists this long non-coding RNA (272 nucleotides) under Lathyrus oleraceus (garden pea). Its description in RNAcentral is "Pisum sativum (pea) long non-coding RNA (PSAT_LNC003274)". The record is from RNAcentral. Lineage: Eukaryota; Viridiplantae; Streptophyta; Magnoliopsida; Fabales; Fabaceae.